GGCGUUCCCGAGUGUUUUAUGGCACUCUUUAAAAUCCAUAUCCACCUUGUGUGCAAUGUUUGUUGGGAAAGUCUUUUUCUUUCCCUUCAUAAAUAUCAACCUAUAUCUUUAACAACAUUCGUCUGAUAACAUAUUAUGAAUAUACUUAAUUCAAAAUAUAACUUUCAACAACGGAUCUCUUGGCUCUCGCAUCGAUGAAGAACGCAGCGAAAUGCGAUACGUAAUGUGAAUUGCAGAAUUCAGUGAAUCAUCGAAUCUUUGAACGCAUAUUGCGCUCUUUGGUAUUCCGAAGAGCAUGCUUGUUUGAGUAUCAGUAAACACCUCAACCUCUCUUUUUUGAUAAAAAAAAAAGGGAGGGUGGACUUGAGCUAUCCCAACGACCUUCACCGGUAGGCGGGCGGCUUGAAAUGCAGGUGCAGCUGGACUUUUAUCUGAGCUAAAAGCAUAUCUAUUUAGUCCUCGUCAAACAGGAUUAUUACUUUUGCUGCAGCUAACAUAAAGGAUAAUUGUCCUCUUUGCUGACUGAUGCAGGAUUUUACGACACUUUAUGUGUUGUUCAACUCGAUCUCAAAUCAAGUAAGACUACCCGCUGAACUUAAGCAUAUCAAAAGCCGGAGGAAU
Molecule: ribosomal RNA, 621 nt
Filed under: fungal sp. QLF63
Lineage: Eukaryota; Fungi
Description: eukaryotic LSU rRNA
Rfam family: 5.8S ribosomal RNA (bases 160-313)
Source: RNAcentral